RNAcentral lists this small RNA (992 nucleotides) under Histoplasma capsulatum var. duboisii H88. RNAcentral describes it as "Histoplasma capsulatum H88 hypothetical RNA". The record is from RNAcentral. Lineage: Eukaryota; Fungi; Ascomycota; Eurotiomycetes; Onygenales; Ajellomycetaceae.
GCCCCUAACCACCAACUCUUCCACUACCAUCUACCAAACGGGACCCUGCGGUUGGAGUAGUUGCCUCUGGUCAAGAGCUUUUAGAUGCGAUCUACACUACUGUGGCCCUGCCCAUUCUGUCAUCACUUCCAUUGAAACGCUCUGCUGUCAAGAGCGUUUCUCUGCUCCACGGUGCAGCAAUACAACCACUGUUUACUUAUCCUGUCGCUGUUAGGUCUUACCCCUCCUCCAACAACGAUGCAGCGCGUCCUUGCGUUCUUUGGGCAGGACUACUUCAACUCUAUAUACCACGGUGAUAAUUAUUUCAUAUUUGAAAUGCCCGCUUUUCUCUUGUAGGAACAGGCGCACUUUGAUAGUGAAGUCUUUCACAAGAAAUAUUGUAGUCAUAGAGUUUCUUAUAUGAUGCUUUAACAAAGAUACCCUCAACACCAGCUUGCAUGUGUUCGUCACAGCAUUCAUUAUCUCAUUUGCUUUUGUUAAAAGGAGUGAUAUACCGCAUGCUUAGGUUCUAUAUAUUGGUUUUAUUCUCUUCUCCUUUUAGAAAGACCUAACAACUUCAACAUCUCUCUCUCUCAUAGGUCUGUCCCUAUCAUUGACCAAUUUGAAAUACAGACUGCAAUCUCUCAGUGAUUAUAUCCAGAUCUACAUACACAGUUCUAUUCCUAGCGGCAACAUGGUGAUCUCUGAUAAAAAAGAAGCUGGCAUCGCAAAUGAAGCUGUACUCUCUACCAUGACAUGUGUUGAAAUCGGAGGAUUGCCUGCCAUGGAGUCAAACCCCCCAGUUCUAGAUGUAAGUUGCCCUCCUUCGACUCAGACUCCUUAAAUCAUAUAUUUCGUUAAUAUCAUUCCUAUCCUAGGAUUUCAAAGUCGUAGCGAACUCCUUCGACAGUCUCAGCAUCACCAAUACCGGCACCAAAAGCAAUGACACCACAGACGACGAAAUUGCUACCCCCGAGAAUGACGUCGAGCAUGAGCAGGAAAACAACAACUCC